This 1755-nucleotide long non-coding RNA is filed under the name Arabidopsis thaliana (thale cress). RNAcentral describes it as "long non-coding RNA (ATHA_LNC000197)". Lineage: Eukaryota; Viridiplantae; Streptophyta; Magnoliopsida; Brassicales; Brassicaceae. The record is from RNAcentral.
AAUGAUCACAAGCAAACACACCCACUCAUAUAUAAAUAGAGCAUAUAUUCCUCACAAGAAUACAAGAUAUUAUAGAGCAAAGAUUGAUAGCUAACUUCAGUAAAUGUCGAGCUACAUUUCCUUCUUCAUGUUACUCUUUUUGUUCCUUAUUUCUCCUCGAACAAACGUUGUCUGUGCAUCAAGACCUUUAUUGGAAUCCAAUAAUCCGGGUCACAUGAGCACGAAUACAAUUUACAUAAAAGGUAGCGAACAAGGCGCAUUUCGCGGUGGAGCGAUGAACGAUUGUCUUCCAAAGGGGUUUCACUUCAACUCAGCUCCUAGCCGCUACAUUAACAAUCUUCCUUUAGAUUCAACUCUUUGUUCUACAACAGAGAAAGCUAUUCCUAAUCCAUAAAAGUAAUAAUCCCCUAAAAUAUUACCCGCUAAAUUAAGUAUGUGCAAAGAUUGAUAGCUAAAUCACCUAUUUGUUUUUUUUUUGCUCUAUGCUUGGGUUAUUUCUUGAAUAAAACCCAUGUAUGUAUUCUUUAAUUAAUUGUGUUUGUAUACUUGUGUAUAAUAUUUAAGCAAUUUUAUUAUAGAUGAAAAAAGUAAUUUUAUAUAAAAAUGUUGUUUAGUAAAUUAAUCAACACAAAUCAGUUUUUGCUAAAUAUGAGAAUUUUUCUCUUCACCACGGUUAAAACUUAAAACUAAAACUGUAUUUAUUGAGAUAAUAUAUGUUAAUAAUAUAUGUUCAUACUUCAUAGCUUUGUGGAAAUUGAGAAUAACCAUAUGUAAAAUAUUUUGAGAAAUGGUUAAAGGGUUCAUAAAAUAAGAGACAACACUUAUGAGAAAAAAAAAAGAGCCUUUAAAAUAAAACUUUGGUAAAGUCAAAGGAAAAGGACGAUAAAAAUCAUCAAAUCGAUAAGUUUUUAUUUUUAUUUGACGAUCUUGCUUCUUCUUCUUCUUCUUCUUCUUCUUCUUCUUCAACUCGUUACCAUCAACGCUCAAAUCCUGUAUACAAUCUCUUCUCAGCUGUAAUUUCUAUAAUCUCGUCAAUUAUCAUCUAUUCAGGGGUAAGCUAUGGGAUGUGCUUCUUCUCUUCCAGGCAAGUUUUGUUUUCUCUCUCAAUUUUGUUGAAUUUGUUGUCGUUGUUCGAAUAAAACUGAGGAUUUAUAGAGACCCUCGAGCAAUUUCACCACCCAUUUUCCGAAGGUGUAAUCAUCGGGGUUGAAUUAGAAGCUUUUAAAAAUUGGGGAUUUUGAUGAUUGGUUAGGGUUUUCUGGUGGAGAAUUGGAGAAACCGAAUUGAUUGUUGGUGAUUUGUGUGUUUUGUGAAGCAGAUAGGAACUCUGGAACUUUAAGUGGUCUUAGCAAUUCAGAGAAUGCUGUUCCAGCUGAUGCCAAAAAUCUACGUGUGAAGGUUUUUUUUUUUUAGUUUUUAGUCUCGUUUAAGAAUGUUGAUCUCGUUGAGAUUGCUUUGUUUCUUCACUGAUUCCUGCAAUUUCUAAUAGCUUAUUAGAAAGUUCAUGCUUUUGUGAUCUGUGGUCUUGCAUUAUAUAUGAUUGUUCACAUUUUAAUCCACGCAUGUUGUAAGAUGUGAUAAGCCUAGUGAAGCGCUUUUGAAGAAACAUACACUCUUUAUAGAAUGGUAGUAGCAAAACCUCAACUUUGUUCUUAAUAAUUGACGGUUUUGCUUUGCAAGCUACUUUUGAAACUCUUUUUCUAUUGUUAAGGAGAUGAUUCCUUUUCUUUCACCUUUUAUUUUCUUGUUGCUCAG